RNAcentral lists this long non-coding RNA (269 nucleotides) under Populus tremula. RNAcentral describes it as "long non-coding RNA (PTRE_LNC000043)". Lineage: Eukaryota; Viridiplantae; Streptophyta; Magnoliopsida; Malpighiales; Salicaceae. The record is from RNAcentral.
UCAAACAUGUGAGAGGCGGUGCGCGCGCACACAUUUAUUAGAUAGCAAAGCAAAAGAGCCAGCGACAAAAGUUUAGAAUCCUGAAAUUAAAACAUGAAGCUCGUAGAUAAUAGCCUCGAUAGCUAACAUGAAGCUGAGAACAAGUGCAGGCGACAAGAUUACAACAACUUGAAAAGAGAAUACGGAGAAAUCCUGAAAAUUCAAAAGACAAACUAAAACAAGCUUCAGUUUUCAUUGUUUCCAUCCAGUGCUGUUCACCCUAAAACCUG